GAGUUUGAUCCUGGCUCAGGAUGAACGCUAGCGGCAGGCUUAACACAUGCAAGUCGAGGGGUAUAAGUCUUCGGAUUUAGAGACCGGCGCACGGGUGCGUAACGCGUAUGCAAUCUACCUUUCACAGAGGGAUAGCCCAGAGAAAUUUGGAUUAAUACCUCAUAGUAUAUAGAGUUGGCAUCAACACUAUAUUAAAGUCACAACGGUGAAAGAUGAGCAUGCGUCCCAUUAGCUUGUUGGUAAGGUAACGGCUUACCAAGGCUACGAUGGGUAGGGGUCCUGAGAGGGAGAUCCCCCACACUGGUACUGAGACACGGACCAGACUCCUACGGGAGGCAGCAGUGAGGAAUAUUGGACAAUGGGCGCAAGCCUGAUCCAGCCAUGCCGCGUGCAGGAUGACGGUCCUAUGGAUUGUAAACUGCUUUUGCACAGGAAGAAACAACUCUACGUGUAGAGUCUUGACGGUACUGUGAGAAUAAGGAUCGGCUAACUCCGUGCCAGCAGCCGCGGUAAUACGGAGGAUCCAAGCGUUAUCCGGAAUCAUUGGGUUUAAAGGGUCCGUAGGCGGUUUAGUAAGUCAGUGGUGAAAGCCCAUCGCUCAACGGUGGAACGGCCAUUGAUACUGCUAGACUUGAAUUAUUAGGAAGUAACUAGA
RNAcentral lists this ribosomal RNA (655 nucleotides) under uncultured bacterium. RNAcentral describes it as "bacterial SSU rRNA". It matches the Rfam family "Bacterial small subunit ribosomal RNA", at positions 9 to 665 of the family's 1533-position model. The record is from RNAcentral.